UUACCGAAUCUGUCAGUUGUGGUC
Molecule: non-coding RNA, 24 nt
Filed under: Arabidopsis thaliana (thale cress)
Lineage: Eukaryota; Viridiplantae; Streptophyta; Magnoliopsida; Brassicales; Brassicaceae
Source: RNAcentral